GACUUCUGGUUUAAUGCACCUGGCCCGCGGCCCACAAGGCCUGUGAGUGCCGGCGCGCGUUUACCAUCCUUCCAGCAACGGCUACCCUUAACUGGGCGGCUGGAACUGGAUCUUUUACUUUGAAAAAAUUAGAGUGUUUAAAGCAGGCGUUUGCUCUGAAUACAUUAGCAUGGAAUAAUAAUCUAGGACUUCGGUUCUAUUUUGUUGGUUUCUAUAACUGAAGUAAUGAUUGAUAGGAAGAGUUGGGGGUGCUAGUAUUGGCCGGUCAGAGGUGAAAUUCUUGGAUUCGGUCAAGACUAACUUAUGCGAAAGCAUU
This 316-nucleotide ribosomal RNA is filed under the name uncultured Cercozoa. Its description in RNAcentral is "SSU rRNA". The stretch from base 97 to 316 matches the Rfam family "Eukaryotic small subunit ribosomal RNA", at positions 734 to 955 of the family's 1831-position model. Lineage: Eukaryota; Cercozoa. The record is from RNAcentral.